GCGGGUGUAGCUCAAUUGGUAGAGCUUCGGCCUUCCAAGCCGAUGGUUGAGGGUUCGAGCCCCUUCGCCCGCU
RNAcentral lists this transfer RNA (73 nucleotides) under bacterium. RNAcentral's name for it is "tRNA-Gly". It matches the Rfam family "tRNA". Rfam says of the family: Transfer RNA (tRNA) molecules are approximately 80 nucleotides in length. Their secondary structure includes four short double-helical elements and three loops (D, anti-codon, and T loops). The record is from RNAcentral. RNAcentral also lists the same sequence under 1 other name.